UGCGUAGGCGGCUAGGUAAGUCAGAUGUGAAAGCUCUGGGCUCAACCCAGGAAUUGCAUUUGAAACUGCUUAGCUUGAGUUCGGUAGAGGAGGGCGGAAUUCCUGGUGUAGCGGUGAAAUGCGUAGAUAUCAGGAGGAACACCUGUGGCGAAGGCGGCUCUCUGGUCCGAAACUGACGCUGAGGCACGAAAGCUAGGGGAGCAAACAGGAUUAGAUACCCUGGUAGUCCUAGCUGUAAACGGUGAGUACUAGGUGUUGGAGGUAUUGACCCCUUCAGUGCCGUAGCUAACGCAUUAAGUACUCCGCCUGGGAACUACGACCGCAAGGUUGAA
This 332-nucleotide ribosomal RNA is filed under the name uncultured Pseudomonadota bacterium. RNAcentral's name for it is "bacterial SSU rRNA". It matches the Rfam family "Bacterial small subunit ribosomal RNA", at positions 568 to 898 of the family's 1533-position model. The record is from RNAcentral. Lineage: Bacteria; Pseudomonadati; Pseudomonadota.